GCUCAGGACGAACGCUGGCGGCGUGCUUAACACAUGCAAGUCGAACGGAAAGGCCCUGCUUUUGUGGGGUGCUCGAGUGGCGAACGGGUGAGUAACACGUGAGUAACCUGCCCUUGACUUUGGGAUAACUUCAGGAAACUGGGGCUAAUACCGGAUAGGAGCUCCUGCUGCAUGGUGGGGGUUGGAAAGUUUCGGCGGUUGGGGAUGGACUCGCGGCUUAUCAGCUUGUUGGUGGGGUAGUGGCUUACCAAGGCUUUGACGGGUAGCCGGCCUGAGAGGGUGACCGGCCACAUUGGGACUGAGAUACGGCCCAGACUCCUACGGGAGGCAGCAGUGGGGAAUAUUGCACAAUGGGCGGAAGCCUGAUGCAGCAACGCCGCGUGCGGGAUGACGGCCUUCGGGUUGUAAACCGCUUUCGCCUGUGACGAAGCGUGAGUGACGGUAAUGGGUAAAGAAGCACCGGCUAACUACGUG
This 474-nucleotide ribosomal RNA is filed under the name uncultured bacterium. RNAcentral describes it as "partial 16S ribosomal RNA". It matches the Rfam family "Bacterial small subunit ribosomal RNA", at positions 22 to 507 of the family's 1533-position model. The record is from RNAcentral.